This is a long non-coding RNA of Mauremys reevesii (Reeves's turtle), 1206 nucleotides long. RefSeq lists it as uncharacterized. Lineage: Eukaryota; Metazoa; Chordata; Testudines; Geoemydidae. The transcript is spliced from 3 exons. The record is from RefSeq and is a predicted model, not a curated record.
GGAGAGAAGCAAUUUUAAAACUAUUCGGGUUUUCUUAAGUUUCUUUGUCCAGCGGAAAUAGGAGAGAGUUGAUAGCAGAUUUGUUUGGCUUUAGCUGCUACAGUCCACGCAGCUAUUAGGGACACUUUAUUACUCAUGCAGUGGAAAAAAAUAGCAGAGGCCUCCAAGUCCACUAUCACCCUGUGCAAAAAAGAAGCAUCUCCCCCUGGCUACACAAAGUUCUACAGUACUUCACAUCUGGAUUCUAGUUACAUCUCUGCCUCUCUGCUGCUACUCUGUUCAGCGCAAUAACCUAACACUGUUCAGCGCAUGGGGUGAAGACUGACCUAGGCACUAGCUUCACAUAAAACAACAUUCCAGCAGAGAGGAUAAUGGGCUGGGGUGGCAGGAACUGCAUAGGUAGAUACCAUGUGUGCAGUGCUGUCAUAGCCCUGUGCGUCCCAGGAUAUUAGAGAGACCAGGUGGGUGAGAUAAUAUCUUUUAUUGGCUCAACUUCUGUUGGUAAGAGAGAGAAACUUAUGAGCACAACAGAGCUCGUCUUCUGCUCCCAGCACCAGAAGUUGGUCCAAUAAAAGAUACUACCUCAUCCUCCUUGUCUCUCUAGAUAGUACUAGCCAUACACACACUGUACAGCUCAUGGGGGCCCCUAUUCGUCAUCAACUGCACACGCCACAGCUUCAUCAUUGUAGAUUUAUGCUGUCAUUACAAGGAAAUUCAACCACUUUUCUUCAACUAUUGGAAGGAUCUUGCUGCCAAAAAUGUACUAAGCGAUGCAGACAUUGUUCUGGCACAGUACUGUAGAAUGCCUGUUGCGUUUGACCAGAAGAGUGAUGUGAUGGUACAGAGAGACCCCUGGAUGUAGACUCACCAAUAUAUGAUGGAAGAUUCCAGAUGUUCAUAAUUGGGUGUCAGGAACCCAUUGAUGCACUGGCACUUCAUUCUGAAUGAUGUAAAGCUUCAGUCUUUGCAAACAAUACACUUCUGCAUUUAAAGUUUAUCUACAAAUCAUUUGCUGUCAUGGUCUUGAAAUUUCCCUACUUAGGUAGGAAAACGCCCAUUGAAGUCAACAGGAAUUUUCCUUGCAGAGGGAAUCCAGUCUACAGCCAAUUUUGUAUUAGCAUAACCAGACAGAUUUUGCAAAAACAUAUUUUGCCUAAUACCUUUGACAAAUAUUUCAAAUCAUUAAAGUGAUUUUUCUCCCAUGAA